RNAcentral lists this transfer RNA (64 nucleotides) under Candidatus Saccharimonadota bacterium. Its description in RNAcentral is "tRNA-Ser". It matches the Rfam family "tRNA". Rfam says of the family: Transfer RNA (tRNA) molecules are approximately 80 nucleotides in length. Their secondary structure includes four short double-helical elements and three loops (D, anti-codon, and T loops). Further hydrogen bonds mediate the characteristic L-shaped molecular structure. tRNAs have two regions of fundamental functional importance: the anti-codon, which is responsible for specific mRNA codon recognition, and the 3' end, to which the tRNAs corresponding amino acid is attached (by aminoacyl-tRNA synthetases). tRNAs cope with the degeneracy of the genetic code in two manners: having more than one tRNA (with a specific anti-codon) for a particular amino acid; and 'wobble' base-pairing, i.e. permitting non-standard base-pairing at the 3rd anti-codon position. Lineage: Bacteria; Candidatus Saccharimonadota. The record is from RNAcentral.
GGAUAGUUUCCUAGGGGAGCUUUGAAGACUAAAGAUGCGGGUUCGAUUCCCGCACUAUCCACCA